UUUGAUUAAGUAUACUUGUAUAUUUCACUUACAAUGAAAUGGUCUUAUUUUAAGAAUCAAAA
This 62-nucleotide transfer RNA is filed under the name Ambigolimax valentianus. Its description in RNAcentral is "tRNA-Val". Lineage: Eukaryota; Metazoa; Mollusca; Gastropoda; Stylommatophora; Limacidae. The record is from RNAcentral.